AACCUCCGCAAUGUGAGAAAUCGCGACGGGGGGAUCCCAAGUGCCAUUCUUAACGGGAUGGCUUUUCUUAAGUGUAAAAAGCUUUUGGAAUAAGAGCUGGGCAAGACCGGUGCCAGCCGCCGCGGUAACACCGGCAGCUCUAGUGGUAGCAAUUUUUAUUGGGCCUAAAGCGUCCGUAGCCGGUUUAAUAAGUCUCUGGUGAAAUCCUGUAGCUUAACUGUGGGAAUUGCUGGAGAUACUAUUAGACUUGAGACCGGGAGAGGUUAGAGGUACUCCCAGGGUAGAGGUGAAAUUCUGUAAUCCUGGGAGGACCGCCUGUUGCGAAGGCGUCUAACUGGAACGGUUCUGACGGUGAGGGACGAAAGUUAGGGGCGCGAACCGGAUUAGAUACCCGGGUAGUCCUAACUGUAAACGAUGCGGACUUGGUGUUGGGGUGGCUUUGAGCUGCUUCAGUGCCGAAGGGAAGCUGUUAAGUCCGCCGCCUGGGAAGUACGGUCGCAAGACUGAAACUUAAAGGAAUU
Molecule: ribosomal RNA, 521 nt
Filed under: uncultured bacterium
Lineage: Bacteria
Description: bacterial SSU rRNA
Rfam family: Archaeal small subunit ribosomal RNA
Source: RNAcentral